UGUUUUCUGUGGAGUUUUUAAUUCAUGACGUUUUGUUAUUUCGGAUUUGUGAUGUGUGAUCAAAUGUUUACCUGCCAGAGCUAUAUAUGUAAAUGCCAGUAUUAUAUGGAGAAACUUUGAGGUAGCGGGGCAGUAGUGUAGUGUCCCUUUAAGAGAGGAGUGUGCUGUGAGGUCACGUGACCAGUGUUUACUGAGUGAAAAGGAAGCGCGAUUCACUUAGUUGGUAACGACUUCCAACCCGGUGUGCAGCCACUUGGUUUUUUACCUGGUUCCCCUUUUUAAGAAAUAAACAAACAAAUGAGGAAUCUCGAGUAAAAUCCUAUGUAUGCCGGGUUGCCCUUUCCGUGGGGAGAAAACGGAACAGU
This is a non-coding RNA of Gasterosteus aculeatus aculeatus (three-spined stickleback), 365 nucleotides long. NCBI's taxonomy places the organism in Eukaryota, Metazoa, Chordata, Actinopteri, Perciformes, Gasterosteidae. The record is from RefSeq and is a predicted model, not a curated record.